UGGGAGAGCAAUCGAUUCUGAAAAACCACUACCCUGUUUGGAAUUAUGCUUACCUAUCACAAGGAAUAGGACUAGAUAGAAAGUUUGGCUGGGGCGGCACACCUUCGAAAGAGCAGCGAAGGUGUCCUAAGUUGAGCUCAGUGAGGACAGAAAUCUCACGUUGAGGAUAAGGCCAAAAGCUCAAUUUACUGUGCCUUUUUGUACUAGGAUCAGUUACGAAAGUAAGGCCUAACGAUCCCUAAAUAGCCUCAGGUGCGUGAGGAUUGGGGUGACAGACAAGUUACCUCCGGGACAACUGGCUUGUGGCUGCUAAGAGAUCAAAUCAACGCAGCUUUUUGAUUCUUCGAUGUCGGCUCUUCCUAUCCUAGUGAUGUACAAGUUGCUAAGGGUCGGAUUGUUCACCCGUAUUAGGGAUCGUGAGCUGGGUUUAGACCGUCGUGAGCCAGGUUUGUUUUAUCCUACUGGAUAUAGCAUCAUGAUAGUAGAUUGAUUUAGUACGAGAGGAACUGUUGAUUAUGGCCUCUGGUUAGCGAUUAUCGGAAACGGUAUGUCGCGCAGCUACGCCGUCUGGGAUAAUGGCUGAAAGCCUCUUAAGCCAGAAGCCCAUCUAGAAAGUGAUGCACGUGAUGUUGGACCGAUACGAAUAAUCAUACUCAAAAGGUCCGCUUCAUAGGUAACCCAAUGUAGAAGACAUUGUGUGAACGAAGGUACUGUAAGCAGUGGAGUGGCAUUACGUCCACGACCUGUUGAGGUUCAGCUUCGCUUCUAGGUUUCC
This 775-nucleotide non-coding RNA is filed under the name Trichomonas vaginalis G3. RNAcentral describes it as "Eukaryotic large subunit ribosomal RNA". It matches the Rfam family "Eukaryotic large subunit ribosomal RNA", at positions 2470 to 3401 of the family's 3401-position model. Lineage: Eukaryota; Parabasalia; Trichomonadida; Trichomonadidae. The record is from Rfam by way of RNAcentral.